CCGUGAUGAACUAACCGUCUGUCGCUGGGAAGAAGCUUAACUUGGGGGAAACUGCCACGAAAAUAAAACUUUAAUCUAAGUUUGCCUUUCUUUAAUUUUGUUAUUUUAGAAAUUUAAAUUAUUAAUUUAAUUUUUUCCUAGUCCCUUAUCCUAAAGAUGAGGAGACAUAGGUAGGUAGUUUUUAUUUAUAUAUUUUUAUUUUAGUAUACUAAAAUAUCAAUUAUUAAAGAAAGGCAAACCACUGGAUUAAAGCUUUUAUUGUAGCGGUAGUCCCAUUUAAGUAACAGCCUCAAAAGUCAUAGCAAGGUAGAUUGUACUGGAA
This 322-nucleotide ribosomal RNA is filed under the name Pleurotus flabellatus. RNAcentral's name for it is "partial small subunit ribosomal RNA". Lineage: Eukaryota; Fungi; Basidiomycota; Agaricomycetes; Agaricales; Pleurotaceae. The record is from RNAcentral.